This 236-nucleotide ribosomal RNA is filed under the name uncultured bacterium. RNAcentral's name for it is "partial 16S ribosomal RNA". It matches the Rfam family "Bacterial small subunit ribosomal RNA", at positions 99 to 334 of the family's 1533-position model. The record is from RNAcentral.
CGAACGGGUGAGUAACGCGUGAGGAACCUGCCUCAAAGAGGGGGACAACAGUUGGAAACGACUGCUAAUACCGCAUAAGCCCACGGCUCGGCAUCGAGCAGAGGGAAAGGAGCAAUCCGCUUUGAGAUGGCCUCGCGUCCGAUUAGCUAGUUGGUGAGGUAACGGCCCACCAAGGCGACGAUCGGUAGCCGGACUGAGAGGUUGAACGGCCACAUUGGGACUGAGACACGGCCCAG